This is a long non-coding RNA of Microtus ochrogaster (prairie vole), 468 nucleotides long. RefSeq lists it as uncharacterized. The record is from RefSeq and is a predicted model, not a curated record. Lineage: Eukaryota; Metazoa; Chordata; Mammalia; Rodentia; Cricetidae.
UUUUUUGACUGCGAUCCAGACUUCCAGAGUCUGUGGGUCUACAGCAGUCAAGCAGGACAGACGGCAAUUCAUCUUGGGUCUCACCAGUAGCACAGAAGAGGUUGGUGUUUAUUGAAACAUACAGCUAAGACACUGUGUGGCCACCACAGGCACUAUGAGCCUCAGACUGCCCAGAGCAGUCUUCUCUGACCUCUGUGUGAAGACGUGGUUCGUCUACAGCUGACCUGGGGCUUGUUCCUUCAGAGGCUAGUGGCCUCAUCAUUGCACUGUGGUGAGCUGGUGGUCUCAGUGGUUCCCUCCGUAAGAACCACACUGGACAGAACAAAGACAGGUUCCGAACCACUUGAUGGAUCUCCAGCUGGGGGACUGUGUACGCAGAGAGAGAGCCAUGCCACAAACUCAGCGUUCUUUUCAUCACGAUGUGCCAUGUUCUCCAACUACUCGAGAGAGGACAGAGGAUGUAUACAG